UGGGGAAUAUUGCACAAUGGGCGAAAGCCUGAUGCAGCAACGCCGCGUGAGCGAUGAAGGCCCUUCGGGUCGUAAAGCUCUGUCCUGGGGGAAGAAACAAAUGACGGUACCCCGGGAGGAAGCCCCGGCUAACUACGUGCCAGCAGCCGCGGUAAUACGUAGGGGGCAAGCGUUAUCCGGAAUUAUUGGGCGUAAAGAGUGCGUAGGUGGCCAGAUAAGCGCAGGGUUUAAGGCAAUGGCUUAACCAUUGUUCGCCUUGCGAACUGUUUGGCUUGAGUGCAGGAGAGGAAAGCGGAAUUCCUAGUGUAGCGGUGAAAUGCGUAGAUAUUAGGAGGAACACCAGUGGCGAAGGCGGCUUUCUGGACUGUAACUGACACUGAGGCACGAAAGCGUGGGGAGCAAACAGGAUUAGAUACCCUGGUAGUCCACGCCGUAAACGAUGAGCACUAGGUGUUGGGGCCGCAAGGUUUCAGCGCCGCAGUUAACGCAAUAAGUGCUCCGUCCU
This 505-nucleotide ribosomal RNA is filed under the name uncultured bacterium. RNAcentral's name for it is "bacterial SSU rRNA". It matches the Rfam family "Bacterial small subunit ribosomal RNA", at positions 355 to 873 of the family's 1533-position model. The record is from RNAcentral.